This 61-nucleotide transfer RNA is filed under the name Cycloneda sanguinea. RNAcentral describes it as "tRNA-Pro". Lineage: Eukaryota; Metazoa; Arthropoda; Insecta; Coleoptera; Coccinellidae. The record is from RNAcentral.
CAGAGGGUAGUUUAAUUUAAAAUAUUAAUUUUGGAGAUUAAAGAUAUUUGUUUUCCUCUGA